GGGAAUCUGCCCUUCGGUUGGGAAUAACUGAGAGAAAUUUCAGCUAAUACCUUAUAAUGUCUUCGGACCAAAGAUUUAUCGCCGAGGGAUGAGCCCGCGUAAGAUUAGGUAGUUGGUGGGGUAAUGGCCUACCAAGCCGACGAUCUUUAGCUGGUCUGAGAGGAUGAUCAGCCACACUGGGACUGAGACACGGCCCAGACUCCUACGGGAGGCAGCAGUGGGGAAUAUUGGACAAUGGGCGAAAGCCUGAUCCAGCAAUGCCGCGUGAGUGAUGAAGGCCUUAGGGUUGUAAAGCUCUUUUACCCGGGAUGAUAAUGACAGUACCGGGAGAAUAAGCUCCGGCUAACUCCGUGCCAGCAGCCGCGGUAAUACGGAGGGAGCUAGCGUUGUUCGGAAUUACUGGGCGUAAAGCGCGCGUAGGCGGUUUCUCAAGUCAGAGGUGAAAGCCCGGGGCUCAACCCCGGAACUGCCUUUGAAACUAGGAGACUAGAAUCUUGGAGAGGUCAGUGGAAUUCCGAGU
This 520-nucleotide ribosomal RNA is filed under the name uncultured bacterium. Its description in RNAcentral is "bacterial SSU rRNA". It matches the Rfam family "Bacterial small subunit ribosomal RNA", at positions 120 to 674 of the family's 1533-position model. The record is from RNAcentral.